CGCAGCCGCGGUAAUUCCAGCUCCAAUAGCGUAUAUUAAAGUUGCUGCAGUUAAAAAGCUCGUAGUUGAAUUUCGGGACCAAUAUGUCGGUCGUGCCUCGGUACGUACUGGCAUCGUUGGUUUCUCCCUUCUGACGAACCAUGAUGUCAUUUAUUUGGUGUCGUGGGGAAUCAGGACUGUUACUUUGAAAAAAUUAGAGUGUUUAAAGCAGGCUCACGCUUGAAUACAUUAGCAUGGAAUAAUGAAAUAGGACGUUUGAUUCUAUUUUGUUGGUUUCUAGGAUCGACGUAAUGAUUAAUAGGGAUAGUUGGGGCAUUAGUAUUCAAUUGUCAGAGGUGAAAUUCUUGGAUUUAUUGAAGAUUAACUACUGCGAAAGCAUUUGCCAAGGAUGUUUUCAUUAAUCAAGAACGAAAGUUAGGGGAUCGAAGACGAUCAGAUACCGUCGUAGUCUUAACCAUAAACUAUGCCGACUAGGGAUCGGAUGAUGU
RNAcentral lists this ribosomal RNA (488 nucleotides) under uncultured Glomeromycotina. Its description in RNAcentral is "SSU rRNA". It matches the Rfam family "Eukaryotic small subunit ribosomal RNA", at positions 569 to 1063 of the family's 1831-position model. Lineage: Eukaryota; Fungi; Glomeromycota. The record is from RNAcentral.